GGUGUGAGCCACCGUGCCCGGCCUAUGCACUCUUAAAUACAGUUUUUAAAUGUGUGUGUGCAUCCAUGUCUUAGAAUUCAUAGUGUAUAUCAAGAGGAAAAUGGAUUAAUUUCUCAAAAAAGUAAAAUUUCAUAAAUAUGUCUACUGUGCAAAUUAGCAGCAUAUUCCUUAGUGUCUUCCCUAAGUUUCCUCACUGAGUUUCUGUGUCAUAUUGCUUCUCCUCCUGGUGUACUCUUUUCCCACUCCUUUGCCCCAACCACAUACACACUAGGUUUUAGAGCAGCAGCUUCUAGCCCAUUUUCACAGUCUCUGGUCCUGGCAGAACACCUGUUGAAUCUUUGGUCUUUAUAUCACAACCUUUCGUUCAUUCAUCUAAUCCAAAGAAUAUUUUAUAUGCCAGACAUUUUGCUAGAUAGCGAAGAUGUGUCAUAAAUAAAAGAGAAGAGCCCUGUUCAACCUCUCCACCCAAUUGUGGGAGAAAUUGACAUUAAAUAAAUAAUAGCUGAUUAUUUUGUUAAAAUUAUAAUAGUGUUACAUAGGAGAAGUCACUGUGUCUCAGGAGUGUAGAACGGGGAAACUAAUUAGUCAGUGAUUGUGUGAGAGGAGUGUUAGGGAAGACCCCUCAGAGGAAAUGAUAUUUUCUUAGACUUUAAAAGAGGAUGAAGAGUUGUCUAGUUGAAGAUAAAGUGGGGUGAUGCCUAAUAUAUUGCUCAAUAAAUAUUUUUUUAAUGGAUUUGUAAACAAAACUUCCAGAAAGAAUUAUGGGUAUUGAUUAUAUGCUAAUCAUAGUAGUCAGCAUGUAUAAGAAGGUAAAAACUACAUAUAUUUUAGGACCAGGCAGCUCUUAUUCAUUCUGGCAGUGACAUGGAAGUGAGAAAGGCCAGCUGACCUAAAGAGAUCAAACUUUUGACCUUGCCCUCUUUAAUCCAGGACCCUAAACCACUGUGGUAACUAGACAAUUGUGAUAUAUGAAUACUUUGAAAACCUUAAAAAUGAAGAACAUUGAGUCUUUCAUGAAAAUACUCCUGAUCACAGUGUUUGCAUUACAAACUGAAAUCCAGUGGAAUAAACCCUGGUGGGCCUAUGUGGUAAAACUAUCAUAUUUUUCCUAAUGACUGUGCAAACUCAUUAUAAAAUCAUAAUUUUGAGGUUUCAUACCCAUCAUGAGUCAAGAUAGGUUAGUUUUGGCAAAAUACAUCUUCUUGGCUUUAGAGACUGUGAUCCAUCUUUGUGGCAUCAAAGAAGGGCAGCAUAAGUGUUGACUGGAAUCCCAAACUUUUCACCUCCCUUUGAUGCCAAGCCAAGCCUAAGCUUUCAUCAAAAGUACAUAAAUUCUUUUAUAUGGUGUAAUUAGGAGUUUGUAGCAUAAUUUGCAACAGAGGUUGCUUUACUUGCAUGCUUUUUCCCUUCCUGGAUCUUUUUCCCUGACCUGAGAGAAUGAAAAUAAAUCUCACAUCAUCUUCACCAAUUUUCUCUUCAUCCCACCUGGAUGUGCUUCCUCUUAGGUUACCAACUGCCCAACAGAUACGUCAACUGCAAGAUGUUCUAUCAAGCAAUUCACUACUUCCUCCCUUCUCAAUCUUCAGGCUCUGCAUAUGGAAAUGAACAUUUCAUUAUGACCCUAUGACCUACAAAGCUCCCUCUCUGUCACUCCUUAUCAUCUUUCCUAGGGAGGCAAUCAAAAUGAAAUGAUUUUAAGAUUCUAGCACUCCCAACUCUAAGGUAAAUAGCAUCUGACAUCUUCAUUAAGUCCAUAUUCAGUUUUUAGGUCUUCUGGUUGAAAGAAGAAUAAUCUAGAAGGACAAUUAAUAUUUAAAAAAGUCUUUCCCCUAUAACUUAAUAUUGUAGGUGGUAGUACUUUUUAGGACAGCACAGACUUGGUUUGGAAAUCUCAAAAUAACAAAAGGUGGUUUAAUUUUCUUACCCCUAUGUCAAGUUUUACCUGUUUUUUGUUUGUUUGUUUUAAUUCUCUAAGUGGGGAUAGAACAUUUUGUGGUAUGAAAAACUAUGAAAGAUCUUACCUCUGAAAAAAACUCCAUUUGAAUGAACCCUAAUUUAAUGGACAGGUGAAAGGUCAGCAACCUAGAAAAUUGGAGUGUAGUCACAGAAUUUACAACACCUUCUAACAUUUCUGGGCCUAAAUUUCACGUGUAUCUAAAGUAGAAAGAAUGGUCCCCAGCCCUUUCCAGAGUUUUAAUGAAAGAGUCUAUUGCUUUAAAUUAAAGACACAUCUGCUAGGUUCCUUUAACAGCAUCAGAGUUGAUGUUCAAACAUAUUAUUUCAAAAUUAUUUUGCGAAAUGUUGAGGUUAUCUGUCUUUAAAGUGCUGUUGCAAAAGUAUAUUGUUGAAUUUGUAACUCACAGCUAGAAAGCGAUAUAAAUCUUACAAGUUGCACUGAGAUCUUUCUAGAUGAAAAUGAUGCAGCAAUCAUGAACUCCUGUGUUAUCUGUCACUAUCUCAUAAGUCACAUGAUUUGAAGAGAAGAUCAUUCGGAGCAGUGGAAAAAUGAAAUCAAACAUAGCUGCUACCUCAGAUUGAAGAGAUGUCCUCUCCGAUUCUUUAAAGUAUUUCCUAUUCUCCUACCCACCUCCUCUGUUGUUUGCAAGACUCAAAAAGAUAAAUUUAUAGUGAAAUAAGAAUCCUCCAACUUACAUAUUAGAGCUUCUGCAAUUAAAGAAAAACAGAAAUCAGGCUGGGCGCAGUGGCUCACGCCUGUAAUCCCAGCACUCUGGGAGGCCAAGGUGGGUGGAUCACCUGAGGUCAGGAGCUUGAGACCAGCCUGGCCAACAUGGCAAAACCCCAUCUUUACUAAAAAUACAAAAAUCAGCUGGGUGUGGUGGUGGGUGGCUGUAAUCCCAGCUAUUCAGGAGGCUGAGUCAGGAGAAUCCCUUGAACCCAGGAGGCAGAUGUUGCAGUGAGCCGAGAUGGCACCACUGCACUCCAGCCUGAGUGACAGAGUGAUACUCUGUCUCAAAAAGAAAAAAAGAAAAAGAGAAAUCUAUGGGUGAAGACAAAUGGAAUGGCAAUACCUUGGAGUAGCAUUUACUAAUUCAAGCCAUAUAAACCAUACUAAGGUUGUCAGCCCAGAGGGGAGUCCAUCUGCUAUGUAGAUGAGAGAAUGCGACCAGGAAAGUCAGGACACAAAGCCAUGAUUCUUUCAACUUUUUGGCACUUUAAUAAGUGAAUUGCAUGUCCUGUCUUCUCCAUGAACUCAGCAAAGCUACAACUAAGCUCCUCAUCUUGAGAGUUCACCAUGUGCCCACUUUGACCUAUGGAUGGGCCCCUUGGCACUCUACCUUUUCAGUGUCCUCAACUGCACAAACUUCCUGGGCUGCACUGACUGCUGUACCCAGGCAAUUUUUUGGGAGCUCCAAUGUCUUGUCUAGCACAUGACAUGAGGCUGUAGCAUGUUCUUUCAAGUAUUAGUGCUAAAGAGGUCCCAUUCUACUUUCUCUGACUGAUCAGGUCACUGUUUUCAGCUACCUGGCCCUUCUAAGUCAGGGUCACUAGAGUAUUGGGAGGUUUGUAACUUCUUCAUUGGUGUCUUGUGUUUUCCUGUCUUUGAACUUGAGGAAAGCUGGCCCUGGAUGUUCACAACAUCAACCAAGCAAUGAAAACCACAGCACCCUACAGGAAAUUCUGCAUUUCUCUCAAAACAUGCAAAACACAAAAUUGGGUGGAACCACAGAAGGUUAUGGAUAACUCACUACAGUUUGGACUUUCAAAGGCCCUGGGAAAACUAUCCUACUUUUGUGAGAUACUAUUGUUCUACCUGUAAUGCAAGUGAACAGAUCUUAAUAAGGACAAAUAACAAUUUUUUAAAUGUUUACCAUAUUUUCUCAUUUGUUCCUUUCAUCAAGCAUCCAACCUGCCAGACCCUGCACUUGAUGGAUCAGCUGGCACCACCCAAAUCAAUAAACCGGCUCAUCUGAUCUUGUGGCACCCACCCAAGAACUGACUCAGCACAAGGAGACAGCUUCGACUCCCUGUGAUUUCAUCCCUGUCAACCAGCACUCCUGGCUCACUGGCUUCCCCCCACCCAACCAAGUUAUCCUUAAAAACUCUGCUCCCUGAAUGCUCAGGGAGUUUGAUUUGAAUAAUAAUAAAACUCCAGUCUCCUGCACAGCCGGCUCUAUAAAUUACUCUUUCUCUAUUGCAAUUCCCCUGUCUUGAUGAAUCGGCUCUGUCUAGGCACCGGGCAAGGUGAACCCCUUGGGUGGUUACACUAGCAUUGGUUUUUGUUUGCCACUGCAGCAUUAAUUAUGUGUUUUUUAUGGCAAUAGAAAUUUUUUUUUACUGCCUUUCCUCAAUGUUACAUGAAGACAUAUUUCACAAGUAGGCCAAGUACAAAGUAGGAAUAGAAGCUAGAAUGGAAUCAUAGACCAGAUUCUUACAUAGAUCACAUCAGCCAGGCUGAGGCUCCAUCUGUGUGCAUGGCACGGCACAGCUGCGUUGGUUGCUUAUAGCUAGCAUCUGUUCUGAUUGGUUGGUGCCUGUGGCUUUUCAGUUGCUCAGAGUUUUGAAUACCAACCCUGGGUACACAGUUAUCUCUGAAAGCUAAAAUGGUGAAAUAUAACACAUAAUGAAUGCAAUGAGCCAGCUCUAGACACAACCAAGAGAAUUCCCGUAACUGGGAACCUGAGAAAGUAUAAAAGCACUUAAUUGAAGGUGUAAAUGAGAGAAAGCAGGUUUGAAAUGCAACCAAAACAAAGCCCACACAUAGACAACUGUAUUUAUAAGUUGUUUCUAAAUGGGAAUGGAACGGUGUUUUUCCGGGAAUCUAGGGAACAGUCUCUCUACGGCGACUUUUCUCAUGUGAGAAAACAGACAUUUAGCAGAAAACCAGAAAAUGUUCAUUGGCUUCGGUGAACUUUUAUUCCAAGUUUCAAUGAGGGACCCUGUGCAGAGGCUUGGGACACGGAGACCUCCCUCUGCUGCCUUUAAGGAAGGUCAUUAAAAAAAAAAAAAUUCCGUUUUUUUUUUUUUUUUAAAGACGGAGUCUCGUUCUGUCGCCAGGCUGGAGUGCAGUGGCCUGAUCUCGGCUCACUGCAACCUACGCCUCCCAGGUUCAAGAGACUCUCCUGCCCCAGCCUCCUGAGUACCUGGGACCACAGGCGCCCGCCACCACGCACAGCUAAUUUUUGUAUUUUUAGUAGAGAUGGGGUUUGAGCAUGCUGGCCAGGAUGGCCCCGAUCUCUUGACCUCGUGAUCCGCCCGCCCCAGCCUCCCAAAGUGCUGGGAUUAUAGGCGUGAGCCACCGCCCUUCUAACUUUUCUAUUGUACCACACUGAUGGCAAGGAAGGGCGGUAGGAAAGCCUGCCAAGGAAAGGGAGGACCGGCCUGCAUAUUCUUAAGCGCUGUGGGACACUGUUCUGUAGACGUUGCCCAUCCCAUUGCUCUCUCAGGGAGGGAUGAGCCACGGCCAGGAGCAGCUCCUGGUCAUCUACUGUACCACGUGUGCAGAGGGAAGACACACUCCCAGAGAAGAAAAUGCUGGGAAAAAGAGACCACAGCCUUUGUAUGGUGGCUCAAUGUAAGUACUUCUUGACAUGUCCAGUUGUACAGCUCCUCUUUGGGGUUGGAGCGCUUUGCUUUCCAGGGUGUAGAUUGGGGUCUGGGGAAGUGGUGAAGUGGAGUGAAACUGGAGGCCUGGAGCUCCCCCUAGAGGCCAAAUGUAUUUUACCCUGACUCAAGAAAACCUGGAGCUGGAAGCUUGGCUCAUCAAACCUAAAGUAAGAGUAAGAAUCAGCAGUAUUGUCGGCACUACCCCGGGAAGGGAGAGAUACUAAACCUAGUGAACAGUGCAGGUCCGGAAUCCUUUAUGUGAAGUUCUAAAACUCAAAAAACUUUGAAAAUGGAAACUCUUUUGAGACCUAUUUGGCAACAACGUUUACCUGCAAUAUGAGGACAUAGUCUUUAUUAUCUUAAUGUGAGUAUUUUUAUCUUUUAUGACAGAUAUAUUAAUUAAUGUGUUUAAUCAUGAGAGGCUGCCCAUAUUCCUAGUAGGAACGUUAAAAGGUAGAGUACCCACUAGGGGUGUUUUAAUGUACAGUAUAUGAACUGUUUACUUCUCUCAAAUCUUAAAAAUUCAGAAAUCUGAACUACAUCUGGCCCCAAUCAGCCAAAGGACUAUAGGCCUGGGUAUUAUAAUGCUCACUACUGUGUGGGCCUCAAUCACAGCUCAACCUGUGCCAUGUGACUUUCAACAAGUGACUCACUGGCUAGAAGGCUCAGCUUCUUCUUUAGUAAGAUGGAAAUAUCACUAGUUUAGAUAUUAAAUGAGUUUAUGCACCGUGUUCAGCCCAGGACCUGGCAAAUAGUAAACAUCUAAGAGUGUUAGUGAUUAUUAUCAUACUUUGUUAUUAUUACUUGAUCUGAGAGAGUGCAUACCUCACUUUACUCUGAUUCACAGUCACCAAAGAGUCAUUUGACUACCAGCCACCAGGCCCACUAUUACCAGGAAGGUGGAAUCUUGAAAGACGAACAUGAGCUUUUGGGCCACUGAUGAUCCAUUAUAAAUCAAUAAUUUGAUAUUCUAGAUCCUAUCUCAAUCUCUUGAAUAUCUAGAAAAAUCAAAUCAAACAAAAAUCAGAGAUACUCUUGGUUCUGAGACACACCUAUACACCUAAAACCUUACUGGUUGCAAGCAGGCUUAAGUUACAGACAGCCAGACAGCCAAGAGCAUUUUGAAGGUGGGAAAACUAAGGCAAAGAAAUAGAAUGAUUUUUUUUGACAUGAGCACAAUAAUUGUAUGUGGGUCUUGGCUAAUGGUUUGUGAUUAGUUUACAAUGAUCCAAGAAUCUAGAAUAAGAUUUUCUUUUCUUUUCUUGUCUUGUCUUGUCUUUUCUUGACAUGCAGCCUCACUCUGUUCCCCAGGCUGGAAUGCAUUGGCACUAUCUCGGCUCACUGCAACCUCUGCCUCUUGGGUUCAAGUGAUGCUCCUGCUUCAGCAUCCCUGAGUAGCUGGGACUACAGGCAUGUGCCACCACUCCCAGCUAAAUUUUGUAUUUUUAGUAGAGACAGGGUUUUGCCGUGUUGGCCAGGCUGGUCUCAAACUCCUGACCUCAGGUGAUCUGCCUGCCUUGGCCUCCCAGAGUGCUGGGAUUACAGGUGUGAGCCACUGCACUUGGCCUAGAAUAAAAUUUUCUAAAAUGUUGUACAUAAAAUACUAGUGCUGCAAGAGGUUCUUUGAAUAAAAAAUUUCCCCAAAUUAUUUAAAAAUGAAACCCUUCUUUCAGGGAAUAUUUAUUAACACCCACAGAAUUUGGGUUAGAUAGAGUGUACCUGGGGAAAUACUGUUUUAGAGAGUAUCAACUUCUGUAUAUAAUUCAGGUAGAUAAUUCUUGGCUAUUGGGUAAUUUCAAG
This 7365-nucleotide long non-coding RNA is filed under the name Homo sapiens (human). RNAcentral describes it as "HSALNT0058797". Lineage: Eukaryota; Metazoa; Chordata; Mammalia; Primates; Hominidae. The record is from RNAcentral.